AUCCUAGAAAAGAGGCCUCUCAGGGUGGGGAGGUGAUUUAAAUCCUUAUGAGAUAGACGCAGCUCCCCACCUCUUCCAGACCUUCACAAACCCAAACUGGAACCACCGGAAAAACGACUGACAAAUGGCCUCAAGACCCAGGCAGAGACGCGGGGAGAGGGUGACCAGAAGAAAGGCCGACGUACAAGAUACCGCCCUCUGGCACACAGGGCACAUGUGUCCCAACACACACACGCACACACAGACGGGCACAGAGUGAAAGAGCGAGAAAGGAGAGAGAGAGAAAUAAGAGAGAGACUUACGCACACACACAAACGCACAAAGACAUAGGGCAGUGGCACGGUAACACCCACCCCCAGGCAGCCCCUGAAGCUGCUGUGUUCUGCUCUCUGCAACUACGACCCACCAAUGAGAGAGCAGCUCAUGGGCACACAAGCAAACCUCUCCUUUUUUGAAGAUACUCACUGGCACACCGUCCAUGCAGUCCUGAGGCUGGGAUCCCGCCCUGCUUCUCCUGCCCUCCGCCAGCGGUUUCUUCCUCUUGGACGAC
This 550-nucleotide long non-coding RNA is filed under the name Homo sapiens (human). Its description in RNAcentral is "non-protein coding lnc-ZNF479-13:1". Lineage: Eukaryota; Metazoa; Chordata; Mammalia; Primates; Hominidae. The record is from RNAcentral.